This 379-nucleotide ribosomal RNA is filed under the name uncultured eukaryote. RNAcentral describes it as "partial 18S ribosomal RNA". It matches the Rfam family "Eukaryotic small subunit ribosomal RNA", at positions 592 to 976 of the family's 1831-position model. The record is from RNAcentral.
CAAUAGCGUAUAUUUAAGUUGUUGCAGUUAAAAAGCUCGUAGUUGGAUUUCGGAUGGGACUUGCCGGUCCGUCGUUUCGAUGUGCACUGGCCAGUCCUAUCUUGUUGUCGGGGACUAGCUCCUGGGCUUCACUGUCCGGGACUAGGAGCUGACGAGGUUACUUUGAGUAAAUUAGAGUGUUCAAAGCAAGUCUACGCUCUGAAUACAUUAGCAUGGAAUAACACGAUAGGACUCUGGCUUAUCUUGUUGGUCUGUGAGACCAGAGUAAUGAUUAAGAGGGACAGUCGGGGGCAUUCGUAUUUCAUUGUCAGAGGUGAAAUUCUUGGAUUUAUGAAAGACGAACUUCUGCGAAAGCAUUUGUCAAGGAUGUUUUCAUUAA